RNAcentral lists this ribosomal RNA (253 nucleotides) under uncultured bacterium. Its description in RNAcentral is "partial 16S ribosomal RNA". It matches the Rfam family "Bacterial small subunit ribosomal RNA", at positions 524 to 776 of the family's 1533-position model. The record is from RNAcentral.
UACGAAGGGGGCUAGCGUUGUUCGGAAUUACUGGGCGUAAAGCGCGCGCAGGCGGUUCUUUAAGUCAGGGGUGAAAGCCCAGAGCUCAACUCUGGAAUUGCCUUUGAAACUAGAGAACUUGGGUACGGGAGAGGUGAGUGGAAUUCCGAGUGUAGCGGUGAAAUGCGUAGAUAUCGGAAGGAACACCAGUGGCGAAAGCGGCUUCCUGGUCCAGCACCGACGUUCAGGCACGAAAGCGUGGGGAGCAAACAGG